Molecule: ribosomal RNA, 253 nt
Filed under: uncultured bacterium
Lineage: Bacteria
Description: partial 16S ribosomal RNA
Rfam family: Bacterial small subunit ribosomal RNA
Source: RNAcentral
UACGUAGGGUGCGAGCGUUAAUCGGAAUUACUGGGCGUAAAGUGUGCGCAGGCGGCCGAGCAUGUCGAGUGUGAAAGCCCCGGGCUUAACCUAGGAACUGCGCUCGAAACUACUUGGCUGGAGUGUGGCAGAGGAAGGUGGAAUUCCACGUGUAGCGGUGAAAUGCGUAGAGAUGUGGAGGAACACCGAUGGCGAAGGCAGCCUUCUGGGCCAACACUGACGCUCAUGCACGAAAGCGUGGGGAGCAAACAGG